Molecule: non-coding RNA, 337 nt
Filed under: Pongo abelii (Sumatran orangutan)
Lineage: Eukaryota; Metazoa; Chordata; Mammalia; Primates; Hominidae
Source: RNAcentral
CUCAUGUAGGAUGCCCAACAUCUGGAUGCACCCAGCAUGACUACUGGUGCUGAGCAGCCACCCACGAUGAAUUACCUCACAGGAUUGCUGGUCAAAGACACUCGGAGAGACUCCAAGCAUGUGACAAGUCUCUCAUCUGCAGACCCCAUUUUCAGCUCAUGAAUGAAUUCCUGUGAUUCACCAUCCAAUGGCAGGAAAUGAAUUGCGUAAGUUCAAAAGAAGAUCAGGUGAAGUGGUAGGAAAUCAGGUGUUUCUCACGUUUUUUGUUUUUAUUAAUUUACUAUAAUGUUAUUCAAGAAAACAUUCUCAAUAAAGCAAAACAAAUUAGCACUGUAAA